RNAcentral lists this transfer RNA (68 nucleotides) under Crocidura beata (Mindanao shrew). RNAcentral's name for it is "tRNA-Lys". It matches the Rfam family "tRNA". From Rfam's summary of the family: Transfer RNA (tRNA) molecules are approximately 80 nucleotides in length. The record is from RNAcentral. Lineage: Eukaryota; Metazoa; Chordata; Mammalia; Eulipotyphla; Soricidae.
CAUUAAGAAGCUAUAGCAGCAUUAACCUUUUAAGUUAAAGAAUGAGAGUUUAGACCUCUCCUUAAUGA